GAUGAACGCUAGCUACAGGCUUAACACAUGCAAGUCGAGGGGUAGCACGGAAGAAGCUUGCUUCUUUGGGUGACGACCGGCGCACGGGUGAGUAACGCGUAUCCGACCUACCCAUAACUCGGGCACAGCCGCUCGAAAGAGUGAUUGAUUCCCGAUAUGUCAUUGGAGUAGAUUCAAUGAUGAAAGAUUCAUCGGUUAUGGAUGGGGAUGCGUAAGAUUAGGUAGUAGGCGGGGUAACGGCCCACCUAGCCGACGAUCAGUAGCCGGCCUGAGAGGGUGAACGGCCACAUUGGGACUGAGACACGGCCCAAACUCCUACGGGAGGCAGCAGUGGGGAAUAUUGCACAAUGGGGGAAACCCUGAUGCAGCGACGCCGCGUGAGUGAAGAAGUAUUUCGGUACGUAAAGCUCUAUCAGCAGGGAAGAAAAUGACGGUACCUGACCAAGAAGCCCCGGCUAACUACGUG
RNAcentral lists this ribosomal RNA (466 nucleotides) under uncultured bacterium. RNAcentral describes it as "bacterial SSU rRNA". It matches the Rfam family "Bacterial small subunit ribosomal RNA", at positions 28 to 507 of the family's 1533-position model. The record is from RNAcentral.